RNAcentral lists this long non-coding RNA (2476 nucleotides) under Homo sapiens (human). RNAcentral's name for it is "HSALNT0364714". The record is from RNAcentral. Lineage: Eukaryota; Metazoa; Chordata; Mammalia; Primates; Hominidae.
GAUACCAAGUUCAAUUUUAACGAAGCUCUUUUAGUUCCAAGAAACAGACACAGCCAGACCAGUCUGAAAAUUUUUAUUUUCUGAAAAAUGUAACUUGUAAGAACACACGUAGAGCAAAAGGGAGAAACUUGGAAAUUUUUACGCAAGUAAGCCAGGCUGAACCUCCUAAUGCAUGAGGACUGGGCUGGUCCUUGUUUCACAGGGUGGACUCUAGAGUCGUCCUUGCAUCCCAGAAUUUGAGACCUAAUCCAUGAUUAAUCUUGAAACUGCUCCAGUGUGUUUGAGAGAACAGGCAUUCUCUAACUGACGCAAAGUUGUAUAAAACACCUAAGUAAAACCAUUCUUGAAAGGACACAUGAACAAAUUGAACCAGUCAGAGGGGAAAGAUCAGGAUGAUGAAGUGACUCAGAAAUCAGAUUAUUCUCUGAAGGACAUACUUAAAACUAAAAGAUGUUGGAUCUCCAAUAUGAAUUUGUGAUGUCCCUCUUCAUGGAGAGCUGCCUGAAGCUGAGAAGGGUGCGACGGACCUGAAGGCUGCACAGCGCCGGGUCUUACCCAAGGCUCAAGGUGACCGCUGCCUGGUUUCUGCUGGUGUUUAUUCAAAGCCCAAGGGCUCUCCAGUCAGCAAGUGGUGAAUCUAGUCAGACAUGUGUCCUACGCUUCAGGGCAAUGAGCUUCCCCUCAGCCUAAGGUGAGUCUAUGAUUGCCCUCUGGGAGUCAGGGCUGAAGUCAGAAAACUCUGGAAUGUAUUUGGUGCGCUGUUCUACUGUGGCCGAGUUGUUACCCAAGCUGCAAAUCAACGUUCUUUCCACCCUUCCCUCUCCUUUUCUCAUGCAAAGGAAGUUGUCUCUUGUGGCCACCACUGCUCCAGACCUGUGACAAUUACUGCUUGGCUAUUGCCGAUGUUCACUCAAGGCCCAAGGGCUCUUCAGCCAGCUGGGUUGAAUGUUGCCAGGCCUAGCUCUCUCCCUUCAGGACAAUAGGCUUCUCUCUGGCCCCAGGCAGGUCCAGAAAUGCUGUUCAAAAGCUAAUGCCUAGAACUGGGGACCCCGGGAGGCUGCUUGGUGCUUUACCCCUCUGUGGUCGAGCUGGUACCUAAGAUGCAAGACAAAGUCACCUUUACUCUUUCAUCUCCUUUUAAAAGCAGGAGUAUCUUCUCAUGUCUACCAGAGCUGGGAAUGGAGUGGUAACAUUUAAAGCCAGCACAACCCUGGGUCUCACCCAAGGCCCACAGUGAAAACUUCCUGGGUACCAUUAAUUCUUAUUCACGGCCCAAGUUCUCUUAGUUAGUAGGUGAUGAAUCUUGCCAUGACUGGGUUAUUCCAUUCAAGGCAGCAUGUUCCAUUCUGGCCCAGUGUGUGUCUAGAAAUGUCAACUGGGAGCUGGGGCCUGGAACAGGGGCCCCAGGACUCUGCCUGGUGCCCUAUUACACUAUGGCUGAAUUGGUAUCCUACUUGCAAAACAAAGUUCUCUUUUUUCCCUUCUCCUUCUGAGCUGUGAGCUGUGCUGUCUGGGGUAAGGGGCAUGGGAGAAACAAGCACUUCUAGGCAUCUCCAGCUGGUACCUCACUAGGUCAUGUGCACUCAAAAUCCACUGGUUCAAGCCCAGCACGACAAAAAAAACUUGCUCAGGAAUUGCAGUUGUUGUGGCAUAGUCUCUGCCUUUCAAGUUUAUUUAUGACCCUAGAACACUUUAUCCUGCAGUGGUGGUGCUAACCAGAACUCAGGUUCUGACCAUGGGGUUAGGUGACUCCCUUCUGGCUGGGGCUAGUCUAAAUUCUACCUCUGGGGGCGCUGGCUGAAUUCUCUCUCACGUUGCUUUCCAUUUGACAGGGCAGCACUGAGUUCCAACAUAAAAAGUUCCGCAAUCACUGCUCUAUCUAUCCUGCAUACACACAAAUUCUCUUUCUGCACCACAUGGCCACCUCCAGGGGAAUAGGGGACAGGUUGUGUCAUCCAUUCAAGACUAUCUUUCCUACACUCUCUUCAGUGCUUCUUUCUUUGCUAUGAUGUUAAAACCAGAUAAUAUGAUUGCUCACUUCAUGUUUGGUUCUUAUCAAGGUUCUUUCUUGUGUGGAGAGUUGUUCAAUUUGGUGUUCCUGCAGGGUGGAUGAUCACUGGAGGCUUGUAGUCGGCCGUCUUGCUUUGCCUCCUCCUGUUUAUUUACUUCUGGAAAGAACUCCUCCAUCAUAUCUCUUUCACCUCAUACAUAAUAAAAUAGUUUUAGGAUUACAAUAAAUUAUUACAUAAAUAUUCAGUAGGCUCUAAAAAAUACAGAUGGAGUCUCACUAUGGUACUCAAGCUGGUUUUGAACUCCUGGCCUCAAGCAAUUCUAUUGUCUUAGCUGCCUGAGUAACUAGACUUACAAGCACGAGCCACCGUGCCAGGCUAUUUUUCAUUAUUGCUUAAAAAUCUUUAUUGUAUUCUUUGAACUAAAGUAUAAUUUUGAACACACACAAAAUUUAUAUAUUUGACGA